GUUACAGUCCUGCUUUAUUUCUUUGUCAUUUUCAAUUAAAUUGCCAAGCACAAUAAGACAGCUGUGUUGUAAGGAGACGAAAUUCGAGACAGGGGUGUUAUUUCAAUGAAGCGCGUGGUCAAAGGAACCGGGUGGAAGACGGUGGAAGGGAAAUUAUAUGUAAAUGUUUGUCGCAGUUUUACACAUAUUCCAUAACCAUGGUUAAUAAAUGGUCAGACACGUCACUGGCUUUAAAAUAUAAACCCCAUUGAUGCAAAAAGAUGCUGCAUGGAAUGACAAUGUGGUUUGGAACAGACUUGGUGAAGAACAUGGAAACAUCUCUUAAUAAAAUGGCCCCAAACAUCAUCAGGAGUGCAAAAGAAGGAAGUAAAAAACAUAUCUACGCCAAUCUCAUUGGAGAGGAAACCACAGAAGGUCUGGUGAGGAAUGCUGCACUUAUGUUAUUGCAAGCAUUAUUUCAAGAAAAUCCCAGCUUCCUUUACUGUGUAAAUAGUGAACCCAAAGGUCCCACACCAACCAUAGUGUUCAACGGCUCUCCUGAUCUUUUCAAAUCUGAAAGUAUCAACUUUAUAAUGGACAGUGUGAACUUAAUAUGUGGAAGACAUUGACAUCACAGGCUGUGGAAUGACUGUGUCACAGGUCGGAGAAGCGGACCGCCCCUGUCGCGGAUCACGCUCCUCCUAGUUCCACCUCGAGGAGGUCCCAAAGCACCCCAAUGACCAGACAAACCAGAGGGGGAGUAUUACGGGGCCAGGGACAUUGGAGGGGUUUCCACGUGACUCCAGCUGGAACACCGCUACAGAGCGUAUCUGGGUGGGUUGGGCACACACCGUCGCGGCGGCCCCUGAUGGCAUCCACAAGGGUCCAAGACCCUCCUAAGCUCCUAGCCGUAGCAGAACUACGUAUUUCAGCACCCGAAGGACUAACAACCCAGCCGGCAUCUGCAGCGUAUAUCCAACGCGAUCAAACUUCACUCUGACAAGUAACUUCCUAUACACAACCACGCCGUCCUUUCGCCCGGACCAGCCCCGCACUCUUUCCGCCCGCUACCUAGCGGUCGCCGGAUCAGCAGAGCCUGCGGACUCUUCGGAGGCUGGUCUUCGUUGUGCUGCCCAAGGCGGAAGUUGACUCGCCCGAAAAUCGACCCUUCCAGUAACUUCUACCUUCUCUCUUUAUAUCCUCCUCCCAGGCGUGGCUCGCCCAACCAUCGCUCGCCACGUCACUUACACAGCUGUGCCUUGUUUCAGCGAGUGCGGGGAUUCCCGGGGAACCCUGAAGUGCCGGUGUCUGUACAAACCGGUCCGGGCGGAACCUCUUCACUCUCCUUUUGGUUCCGCCCCGCAUAGUCACUCCGUGACAACUGUUUGCGGUUUUUUUUCUCCUCAAUGUUCAAUACCCUUUUGCCAUUAAGCACACAGUGACUUUAAUUUAUAAAAUAUAUGCUUAAGUUUUAAUACCUGUACAAAACAAAUGUACAAUCAACUUGUGUAAAUUUUAAUAAAAAUUUAAGCUUUAAUUGCUUGUUCAUGUUAGUUCAGAGUGCAUUAACUAAUGUUAACAAGAUUUUAAUAAAGUAAUUGUUGAAAUUAACAUUAACAAAGAUUAAUAAAGGCUGUAUAAGUGCAGUUCAUUAUUAGUUCAUGUUAACUAAUGUAGCUAACUAAUGUUAACUAAUGAACCUUAUUGUAAAGUGUUACCGUGAUUUCUUUUCAUCAUUUCAGACACAUGUAAAAGUUACUAAACAUUAAUACUGCAUAUACUGUACAGUAUUUAUGCGUAAGGGAAAUAACUUAAACAAAAUUUUUAAUGUAUAGUGUAAUUAAGAGUUUAGCUGUUUAAUACAGAGAAUUUAUUUAUAUAUAUUAUUUAUAUAUAAACGUAUGUAUGUUUAUUAAAAAGUGAAAAUGCUUAAUGGAAAUAAUUAAAUAACUAAAUGGUUGAAUGUAAUGAGACAUUUUAAAUGUAAACUAAAGUUUUGCUGUCUAAUACAGAAUAAAGAGAUGUGAUUUUAAGUAA
Molecule: non-coding RNA, 2016 nt
Organism: Misgurnus anguillicaudatus (oriental weatherfish)
Lineage: Eukaryota; Metazoa; Chordata; Actinopteri; Cypriniformes; Cobitidae
Source: RefSeq, a predicted model, not a curated record